GCACCGGCAAAAUCCGGUGUCAGGAUUGGAACCCUGAAAUUACUAAAGGCGACACAUGACGCGCCCAGCGUCUUUUUU
RNAcentral lists this small RNA (78 nucleotides) under Morganella morganii. RNAcentral's name for it is "isrK". It matches the Rfam family "isrK Hfq binding RNA". The record is from RNAcentral. Lineage: Bacteria; Pseudomonadati; Pseudomonadota; Gammaproteobacteria; Enterobacterales; Morganellaceae.